UGGGGAAUAUUGCACAAUGGGCGCAAGCCUGAUGCAGCAACGCCGCGUGAACGAUGAAGGUCUUCGGAUCGUAAAGUUCUGUUGCAGGGGAAGAUAAUGACGGUACCCUGUGAGGAAGCCCCGGCUAACUACGUGCCAGCAGCCGCGGUAAUACGUAGGGGGCUAGCGCUAUCCGGUUUUACUGGGCGUAAAGGGUGCGUAGGUGGUCUUUCAAGUCGGUGGUUAAAGGCUACGGCUCAACCGUAGUUAGCCUCCGAAACUGGAAGACUUGAGUGCAGGAGAGGAAAGUGGAAUUCCCAGUGGAGCGGUGAAAUGCGUAGAUAUUGGGAGGAACACCAGUAGCGAAGGCGGCUUUCUGGACUGCAACUGACACUGAGGCACGAAAGCGUGGGUAGCAAACAGG
RNAcentral lists this ribosomal RNA (403 nucleotides) under Verrucomicrobiota bacterium. RNAcentral's name for it is "Verrucomicrobia bacterium partial 16S ribosomal RNA". It matches the Rfam family "Bacterial small subunit ribosomal RNA", at positions 355 to 776 of the family's 1533-position model. Lineage: Bacteria; Pseudomonadati; Verrucomicrobiota. The record is from RNAcentral.